Molecule: long non-coding RNA, 714 nt
Filed under: Homo sapiens (human)
Lineage: Eukaryota; Metazoa; Chordata; Mammalia; Primates; Hominidae
Description: non-protein coding lnc-GTDC1-18:1
Source: RNAcentral
AUGACCCACCAAACACAAGCCUACCAUGUAGUCAAACCCAGCCCCUGACUACUAACAAGAGCUCUCUCGGCUCUCCUAAUAACAUCUGGCCUGGCCAUAUGAUUUCACUUUAACUCCAUUACUCUUUUAACGUUAGAUCUACUGACCAAUACACUAACUAUGUAUCAAUGAUGACAUGAUGUUAUCUGAGGAAGUACAUUUCAAAGCCACGAUACAACAAUUGUCCAAAAAGGUGUCCGAUAUGGAACAAUUCUAUUUAUUAUCUCAGAGGUACUUUUAUUUGCUGGUUUCUUCUGGGCAUUCUACCACUCUAGUCUAGCUCCAACUCCAGAGUUAGGGGGAUAUUGACCUCCAACAGGCAUUCUUCCCCUCAUUCUUUUAGAAGUACCCCUCCUGAAUACAUCUGUGUUACUUACUUCAGGAGUUUCAAUUACUUGAGCUCAUCACAGCCUGAUGGAAGGUAGUCAAAAGCAAAUAAUUCAAAAACUAGCUGUCACAAUUACCUUAGGCAUAUACUUCACCCUGCUACAAGUUUCAGAAUACUUCGAGGCCCCUUUUACUACCUCUACGUUUCUCACUAUCUGCCUCCUCCGUCAAUUAAAAUUCCAUUUUACAUCUAACUACCACUUUGGCUUUGAAGCCACCGCCUGAUAUUGACACUUCGUAGAUGUAGUGUGACUAUUGUUAUACGUCUCUAUCUACUGAUGAGGAUCC